Molecule: ribosomal RNA, 127 nt
Filed under: Pecten jacobaeus
Lineage: Eukaryota; Metazoa; Mollusca; Bivalvia; Pectinida; Pectinidae
Description: partial 5.8S ribosomal RNA
Rfam family: 5.8S ribosomal RNA
About the family: 5.8S ribosomal RNA (5.8S rRNA) is a component of the large subunit of the eukaryotic ribosome. It is transcribed by RNA polymerase I as part of the 45S precursor that also contains 18S and 28S rRNA.
Source: RNAcentral
GUGUCGAUGAAGAACGCAGCCAGCUGCGUGAAUUAAUGUGAAUUGCAGGACACAUUGAACAUCGAUAUCUUGAACGCACAUUGCGGCCCUGGGUCACUCCCGGAGCCACGCCUGUCUGAGGGUCGGC